RNAcentral lists this transfer RNA (73 nucleotides) under Orbicella faveolata. Its description in RNAcentral is "tRNA-Arg". It matches the Rfam family "tRNA". Rfam says of the family: Transfer RNA (tRNA) molecules are approximately 80 nucleotides in length. Lineage: Eukaryota; Metazoa; Cnidaria; Anthozoa; Scleractinia; Merulinidae. The record is from RNAcentral.
GGCCUCGUGGCCCAAUGGAUAAGGUAUCUGACUACGAAUUAGGGGAUUCCAGAUUCGAAUCCUGGCGGGGUCG